AGGAUGAACUGCCCGGCGAGAGUGCAGGCGCUGAGGACAGCGACGAUCCCGAGACGAGACCCAACGGCGAGAAAGGAGAGAGCAAGUCAGGCCACUCUUCCAUAGGGCUGCUGCAGUUUGCUGGGGGUCUGCUUCAGACCUAGUUGCCUCCAUUUUUCCCAUUCCUGGAGGUAUCACCAGUGAAGCCUGUGAAACAGCAAAGAUGGCACCCUGCUCCUUUUUCUGGAAUCUCUGUCCCAGAAAUGCCACGGACUACAAGGUGAUGAAUACCACUAUGAGCUCACUACAAGAUCUCAAAAGAUUUCAAGCACUGGCUGUUCCAAAGCAUAAAGCCACCCUUCUGGAGCAGCGGCAGGAGGCAGGCUGGGACGAGGCCCCGAGUUUUGGCCAGAUGGACCGCCUCCUUAGGUGUCCGGGCAGCUGCUGAAACAUAGUGAGGAAGAUGCUGCUGAUCCAAAGGAUAAAAACACAGAAACUAAAACCAAGAAGCACCUAAAGUGGACUCACACCCAGCAUCCUGCAGACUGACUUUCUCUGAGCUAUAGUUCUGCAUUGGA
This 557-nucleotide small RNA is filed under the name Pongo abelii (Sumatran orangutan). RNAcentral describes it as "processed transcript". Lineage: Eukaryota; Metazoa; Chordata; Mammalia; Primates; Hominidae. The record is from RNAcentral.